This 22-nucleotide microRNA is filed under the name Magallana gigas (Pacific oyster). Its description in RNAcentral is "Mgi-Mir-96-P2m_3p* (star (passenger))". Lineage: Eukaryota; Metazoa; Mollusca; Bivalvia; Ostreida; Ostreidae. The record is from RNAcentral.
CUGUGUCACUCAGUGUCAAACA